Molecule: transfer RNA, 95 nt
Filed under: Kitasatospora kifunensis
Lineage: Bacteria; Bacillati; Actinomycetota; Actinomycetes; Kitasatosporales; Streptomycetaceae
Description: tRNA-Ser
Source: RNAcentral
GGGCAGCGCCAGCGCAGGGACGAUCCCCGCCACGGCGCACGCUUGGAAAGCGUGUUGGGGGCAACCCCUCACGAGUUCGAAUCUCGUAUCCUCCA